UAAACGAGAAGAGUGUGUUUGUGCUGGGCAACAAAGUUCCAUUGGUGUUGGUGUCUUUGCAGUGAAAUGAUUCACCACAGCAAACAAUGCGCUUCUCUGUGGAGCACAGUGAGCCAAGGAGUCGAGCUGUGGGCAUCCAGCUGUCAGAAACAGGUCUCAAGGAGCAGGUCAUAAUAUGAACAGAGAAGCGAGAGGAGGAGCUAUGCUUCCUGUGUUCCCAACCCAUUAGCGACAACCCCUGGGUGAAGAGGAGCUUGUCUGGCUUCCCUGAUGCAGAGAGACAGUCAACACAGUCAUGGACAAGUUCUUGGCAUCCGUCCACCCUGAUCAUACGGGACCUCCAUGUAAAGUAAAGCUCUCCGAAUUCAAGCCCCUGUCAGAAACUGAAAUUUCAGUCCUCCUGCUGUCACAGAGAGCCACCAUCUGCUUGCUCGAUCCCAUCCCAUUGGCACUCCUACAAACCAUCUCCCCACAACUUUCCACCUUCAUUUUCAAGAUCAUGACCUCCUUGCUCUCUGCUGGAUGCUUCCCAUCUGCCUUCAAGACUGCCCUCAUUUCACCUCUGGUAAAGAAACUCUCUCUGGAUCUUCACUCAGUCCUAAACUACAGGCCAGUCUUCCUCCUCCUUUUUCUGUAAAAACUCUCGAACAAUCAAUCAAUUUGUGAUCAACUGUCUGCAUUCCUCACCCAGAACCAUCUCCUUGACGAAUCUCAGGCUAGAUUCAAAGUCAGACAUUCCACUAAAACUGCCCUCCUGGCAGUAUCAGAUGCUCUCCAGUUGACCACAGUCCUCAUCCUUCUUGACCUGUCUGCAGCAUUCAACA
This is a long non-coding RNA of Scleropages formosus (Asian bonytongue), 824 nucleotides long. RefSeq lists it as uncharacterized. Lineage: Eukaryota; Metazoa; Chordata; Actinopteri; Osteoglossiformes; Osteoglossidae. The transcript has 3 exons. The record is from RefSeq and is a predicted model, not a curated record.